ACGCACUAACUUGCACAGCAUUGAAUGGAAAAGGCUUUGUCCAUGUCCAGUUGAGGGCAUCAAGAACACGCAGAUGGCCUAAACCUGUGUCAGCCUGGACAGACUGCAGUUCUGCUACUCCACGCCAAGGCUUUUGUAUGGAUGUCUUGACUACUACUGUGUUCUCUAAAGGUAUUACUGGAGCAAAACAACAGCACCCGUUACAGUGAAAUUUGUAUUCAAAAAAAUAGUGAUACAUGUGUAGCAGGUCCAGUACAUUUGUCAUAAAGGUUAAAUCACAGUAAGUACUGUAAAAAUAACUUGUUUGCCUUUGCCACAACAGGUCAUGGUGUGUGCAUACUACUCGUAGUAAACACACACGCUGAUCUGAUGGGGGAGAGAUAUACGCAAACACAUUUGUAUUUACUG
RNAcentral lists this long non-coding RNA (408 nucleotides) under Danio rerio (zebrafish). RNAcentral's name for it is "si:ch211-15j21.2 (ENSDARG00000093338.4)". Lineage: Eukaryota; Metazoa; Chordata; Actinopteri; Cypriniformes; Danionidae. The record is from RNAcentral.